Molecule: long non-coding RNA, 597 nt
Filed under: Prunus dulcis (almond)
Lineage: Eukaryota; Viridiplantae; Streptophyta; Magnoliopsida; Rosales; Rosaceae
Description: sRNA ncRNA
Source: RNAcentral
CGCUGCCAACCCUUCACUGCCUCUCGCACAUAGCGCAUCUCCCAUUUUUCAUCUUCAUCGGACGACUUCCGAAGAAGGAGAGCAAAGGUUUCAGUCUCGCUUCGUCGCCAUGAGAGCCAAGGUACAACUAAAAUCAAAACCCUAAUAGAAACUUCAAAUUGUUUACGUCUAUACAUCGUCGUUCUUGUGUUUUUGUUGAAAAGUGUUUUUUUUUUCUGAUAAGCUUAUCAAAGAAUGCCAUAGCUUCCGAUCCUUGAAAAAUGAAAUUGAUAUAAAUGGUAAAAUGUGCUGCAGUGGAAGAAGAAGCGCAUGAGGAGGUUGAAGAGGAAGCGCCGAAAGAUGAGGCAGAGAUCUAAGUGAUAGCUUCAGCUGUGCAGCUCUUUCGCAUGGCGUUUCUAUCUUUAGGCUUUUGAGUUUUGUCAGACUUAGUGGUUUGUUAGAAUUAAUAUGAGAAACCCUUGGUGUUCUUAUUUCUAUCUUUCUGCUACAUUUCCUAAUCUUUCAAUGAAAUUUGACUUUUUUUUUUUAAAAAUUAGUUGGUUUAGUUUGAUGAAAUUAUGAAUUUACAUGUUGCUAAUUGGAAUGUGGUUUCUGAAA